RNAcentral lists this ribosomal RNA (429 nucleotides) under uncultured bacterium. RNAcentral describes it as "bacterial SSU rRNA". It matches the Rfam family "Bacterial small subunit ribosomal RNA", at positions 42 to 465 of the family's 1533-position model. The record is from RNAcentral.
UCAGGCCUAACACAUGCAAGUCGAGCGGCAGCGGGAAAGUGGCUUGCUACUUUUGCCGGCGAGCGGCGGACGGGUGAGUAAUGCCUGGGAAAUUGCCCAGUCGAGGGGGAUAACAGUUGGAAACGACUGCUAAUACCGCAUACGCCCUACGGGGGAAAGCAGGGGACCUUCGGGCCUUGCGCGAUUGGAUAUGCCCAGGUGGGAUUAGCUAGUUGGUGAGGUAAUGGCUCACCAAGGCGACGAUCCCUAGCUGGUCUGAGAGGAUGAUCAGCCACACUGGAACUGAGACACGGUCCAGACUCCUACGGGAGGCAGCAGUGGGGAAUAUUGCACAAUGGGGGAAACCCUGAUGCAGCCAAGCCGCGUGUGUGAAGAAGGCCUUCGGGUUUAAAGCACAUUGAGCGAGGAGGAAAGGUUGAUGCCUAAUAC